Molecule: ribosomal RNA, 427 nt
Filed under: Variovorax paradoxus
Lineage: Bacteria; Pseudomonadati; Pseudomonadota; Betaproteobacteria; Burkholderiales; Comamonadaceae
Also listed under: 2 other names
Description: partial 16S ribosomal RNA
Rfam family: Bacterial small subunit ribosomal RNA
Source: RNAcentral
UGGGGAAUUUUGGACAAUGGGCGAAAGCCUGAUCCAGCCAUGCCGCGUGCAGGAUGAAGGCCUUCGGGUUGUAAACUGCUUUUGUACGGAACGAAACGGCCUUUUCUAAUAAAGAGGGCUAAUGACGGUACCGUAAGAAUAAGCACCGGCUAACUACGUGCCAGCAGCCGCGGUAAUACGUAGGGUGCAAGCGUUAAUCGGAAUUACUGGGCGUAAAGCGUGCGCAGGCGGUAAUGUAAGACAGUUGUGAAAUCCCCGGGCUCAACCUGGGAACUGCAUCUGUGACUGCAUUGCUGGAGUACGGCAGAGGGGGAUGGAAUUCCGCGUGUAGCAGUGAAAUGCGUAGAUAUGCGGAGGAACACCGAUGGCGAAGGCAAUCCCCUGGGCCUGUACUGACGCUCAUGCACGAAAGCGUGGGGAGCAAACA